UACGUAGGGAGCAAGCGUUGUUCGGAUUUACUGGGCGUAAAGGGCGCGUAGGCGGCGCGGUAAGUCACUUGUGAAAUCUCUGAGCUUAACUCAGAACGGCCAAGUGAUACUGCAGUGCUAGAGUGCAGAAAGGGCAGUCGGAAUUCUUGGUGUAGCGGUGAAAUGCGUAGAUAUCAAGAGGAACACCUGAGGCGAAGGCGGGUUGCUAGGCUGACACUGACGCUGAGGCGCGAAAGCCAGGGGAGCAAACGGG
Molecule: ribosomal RNA, 253 nt
Filed under: uncultured bacterium
Lineage: Bacteria
Description: partial 16S ribosomal RNA
Rfam family: Bacterial small subunit ribosomal RNA
Source: RNAcentral